Molecule: regulatory RNA element, 31 nt
Organism: Amazona aestiva (blue-fronted amazon)
Lineage: Eukaryota; Metazoa; Chordata; Aves; Psittaciformes; Psittacidae
Rfam family: Iron response element II
About the family: IRE, TFRC, SLC40A1, SDHB, SLC11A2, CDC42BPA, ACO2, ALAS2_H.SAPIENS, CDC14A, EPAS1, ALAS2, qoxD, Hao1, NDUFS1, transferrin, Aconitate.
Source: Rfam
ACCUCAUCUUGAACAGUGUUUCAAAUGACUU